GCCGGGUUAGCUCAGCUGGUUAGAGCAUCGGAAUCAUAAUCCGAGUGUCCCCAGUUCGAAUCUGGGACCCGGUACCA
RNAcentral lists this transfer RNA (77 nucleotides) under bacterium F16. RNAcentral describes it as "tRNA-Met". It matches the Rfam family "tRNA". Rfam says of the family: Transfer RNA (tRNA) molecules are approximately 80 nucleotides in length. Their secondary structure includes four short double-helical elements and three loops (D, anti-codon, and T loops). The record is from RNAcentral.